This 433-nucleotide ribosomal RNA is filed under the name uncultured bacterium. Its description in RNAcentral is "partial 16S ribosomal RNA". It matches the Rfam family "Bacterial small subunit ribosomal RNA", at positions 29 to 507 of the family's 1533-position model. The record is from RNAcentral.
AACGAACGCUGGCGGCAUGCCUAACACAUGCAAGUCGAACGAGACCUUCGGGUCUAGUGGCGCACGGGUGCGUAACGCGUGGGAACCUGCCCUUAGGUUCGGAAUAACUCCCCGAAAGGGGUGCUAAUCCCGGAUAAUGUCUUCGGACCAAAGAUUUAUCGCCUUUGGAUGGGCCCGCGUUGGAUUAGCUAGUUGGUAGGGUAAAAGCCUACCAAGGCGACGAUCCAUAGCUGGUCUGAGAGGAUGAUCAGCCACACUGGGACUGAGACACGGCCCAGACUCCUACGGGAGGCAGCAGUGGGGAAUAUUGGACGAUGGGCGAAAGCCUGAUCCAGCAAUGCCGCGUGAGUGAUGAAGGCCUUAGGGUUGUAAAGCUCUUUUACCCGGGAUGAGAAUGACAGUACCGGGAGAAUAAGCGCCGGCUAACUCCGUG